This 68-nucleotide transfer RNA is filed under the name Inquisitor sp. MNHN IM 2013-18505. RNAcentral's name for it is "tRNA-Tyr". It matches the Rfam family "tRNA". Rfam says of the family: Transfer RNA (tRNA) molecules are approximately 80 nucleotides in length. Their secondary structure includes four short double-helical elements and three loops (D, anti-codon, and T loops). The record is from RNAcentral. Lineage: Eukaryota; Metazoa; Mollusca; Gastropoda; Neogastropoda; Pseudomelatomidae.
UCUUUGGUGGCUGAGAGUAAAAGCGGUAGAUUGUAGAUCUAUUAACGAAGUUAAAUCUUCCCAAUGAA